AUCAUUUUCUCGACCACCCACCACUGAACUCUUGGUUGAGCAAAUAAGCAAAAAGGGAGAACUAACUGCAAGCAGAGAAAAUGUCUUUGGCCAAUGGAGUGAAGUCAUGCGCUAAGCUGCUGAAGUCUUCAGAAUCAUUGUUGGUGAAAUCAGCUAAUCGAGGGUUUCACUCAACUGGUGUGAAGAGAAUGGGAGGACAUGCUCACGGACAUGACGAACCGUAUUAUUUGCAUGCAAAGCAUAUGUACAACUUGGAUAGGAUGAAACAUCAGAAGUUGACCAUGACGCUUGGAGUAUUAACUGCAUUCAGCAUUGGCGUGGGUGUUCCAAUCUAUGCAGUCAUCUUUCAGCAAAAGAAGACGGCCUCUGGAUGAUGACCAAAAGAAUGUGCGUGUCAUUUUAGCACGACAAUAAGAAGAUUCGUUGCGCCUCAGUUUGUCUCGUUCAUUUUCUUAACUUUGUAUAAACCCUCG
This 473-nucleotide unclassified non-coding RNA is filed under the name Hevea brasiliensis (rubber tree). Lineage: Eukaryota; Viridiplantae; Streptophyta; Magnoliopsida; Malpighiales; Euphorbiaceae. The record is from RNAcentral.